Lolium rigidum is the source of this 528-nucleotide long non-coding RNA. RefSeq lists it as uncharacterized. NCBI's taxonomy places the organism in Eukaryota, Viridiplantae, Streptophyta, Magnoliopsida, Poales, Poaceae. The transcript is spliced from 2 exons. The record is from RefSeq and is a predicted model, not a curated record.
UCCUUGAUACUAAUACAAGUUACUAUCCGCAGUCGUGACCGAUCGGCUGCGAAGAGAUGGGAGAGUGCACGAAACGCGUCCACAAGUUGCUGCUGCUUCUUCUUCUCGUGUGCUUCGCCAUUCAAGGCCAAUGCAGAGGCGCAACCCUCGACAAGGAAGGUCUUAAUGGGUGUUUCAAGGGUCACAGCAUUCCCAUAUGCAACCCAGAUAAAGCUAAGUGCUACUGCUGUCUAACCAAUGAUAAUUGCUACAAGACGAUGGAUGAGUGCAAAGCCAUCUGUCCACCGGUGGAGGCGGCGGCAAUCCUCUCCCGGUCCUCCUCCUCCGUACUUCCAUGAAAUGAGAUCAUUGUAAUAAGCUAGAAGACAAAGGAUGAAUAAGAACAUCAAUAACGGUUGAUUUUACUCCAAGCCUCCAUCAAUCUUUUUGUUGUUACUGUUUGACAUUGCUUAUCAAGCCUGCCGCUCGAUAAGUUCUGUAUAUAACAAUGUAUGUUGCUCUCUCUGAAAUGUGUGACAUUCUACUCGG